AACGAACGCUGGCGGCAUGCCUAAUACAUGCAAGUCGAACGAGAUCUUCGGAUCUAGUGGCGCACGGGUGCGUAACGCGUGGGAAUCUGCCCUUGGGUUCGGAAUAACAGCGGGAAACUGCUGCUAAUACCGGAUGAUGACGUAAGUCCAAAGAUUUAUCGCCCAGGGAUGAGCCCUCGUAGAAUUAGGUAGUUGGUGGGGUAAAGGCCUACCAAGCCUACGAUCCUUAGCUGGUCUGAGAGGAUGAUCAGCCACACUGGGACUGAGACACGGCCCAGACUCCUACGGGAGGCAGCAGUAGGGAAUAUUGGACAAUGGGGGCAACCCUGAUCCAGCAAUGCCGCGUGAGUGAUGAAGGCCUUAGGGUUGUAAAGCUCUUUUACCCGGGAUGAUAAUGACAGUACCGGGAGAAUAAGCCCCGGCUAACUCCGUGCCAGCCGCCGCAGUAA
RNAcentral lists this ribosomal RNA (449 nucleotides) under uncultured bacterium. RNAcentral describes it as "partial 16S ribosomal RNA". It matches the Rfam family "Bacterial small subunit ribosomal RNA", at positions 29 to 523 of the family's 1533-position model. The record is from RNAcentral.